RNAcentral lists this long non-coding RNA (1340 nucleotides) under Helianthus annuus (common sunflower). RNAcentral describes it as "hypothetical non coding rna". Lineage: Eukaryota; Viridiplantae; Streptophyta; Magnoliopsida; Asterales; Asteraceae. The record is from RNAcentral.
UAAAGUAAACUCAAUGUGUACACGUGGCAACUUUUUAGAUGAAUGAAUUGUUGAUUUUGGCGGGGGUUUGGUAUUGAGAAUGAGUUCGUAUAUGGGUCUAUACAUACCCGAAUUCCUCUUGAUUCGGAUCCAUUAGAAACAAAAGAACCCCUUAUCCCUCUUUUGCAGAAACCCUAGCGUCAAAAUCUCUCAGCCAAUCUCUCAGCCAAUUCCUUCUUCUUCCUUUCAAUGCACAGCGAUCUACAAGAUGAUAAAGGCGUUUGGUUUAUGAUGUGCUUUUGAAGCAGGCAACUUUAGUUAAAGAUCAAGUUAUUGAGAAGUGAAGAAGUUUGUUCAGAGUAUGCCAAGACACUCUAUUUAGAUGAUGUUGCUUCAGUUACACUCAUUCCAACUCCAGUUUCAGUUUCAACAAAUCCAAAGUGGCUACUGAACUCGCAUUAAAAUACAUUACACUUAGACCUUUCAGCUGGGAUCAAGAUACUGACAAAGUCAAGUUUGAAUUGACUAUUCAUGCAAUAAAACGGAUGAUUAUAAAAGUGGAUGUAAGAUUGUUGAAGAAAUAACGGAUGAUUAUAAAAGUGGAUGUAAGAUUGUUGAAAAAGAAAAGAAGGAUUUAAUAACCAUACCUUGUAGAUCGUUGUGCAUUGAAGGGAAGAAGAAGGAAUUGGCUGAGAGAUUGGCUGAGAGAUUUUGACGCUAGGGUUUCUGCAAAAGAGGGAUAAGGGGUUCUUUUGUUUCUAAUGGAUCCGAAUCAAGAGGAAUUCGGGUAUGUAUAGACCCAUAUACGAACUCAUUCUCAAUACCAAACCCCCGUCAAAAUCAACAAUUCAUUCAUCUAAAAAGUUGCCACGUGUACACAUUGAGUUUACUUUAUUAUAUGUAUAGAUACCAACGGUUCUAGGAACAAAACCAGAAUUACUCAGACAAUUUAUGUGUUCUUUUGAACGAAGAUAGAAUCUUGAUUAUAAAAAAGAACUCCAAAUCUAAUGAAUCUGUUUGGUUUCUUGAGGUAAUAGUAUUCACAUUUAUUGAUCUUGAAAUGAUAGCGUUCAUUAGGUUUUAUUAGGUGGACACACAAUUUAGACGAGACCAAAAAAGUUUGAAACAAAAGUUGUUGCUUGGAGUAAGGGGUUAUUGGUAAUGCUGAGCGGCCCAUAGUAAUUAGUAGCCCGUGUAUGUCGGGUUUGUAAUAUGUCAAAAACGUUUUGUCAAGUGAUGGUUUGAUUUGAAUUCACUAAAUUUUAUGGUUUGCAAGUAUAUCAUGAAGAUAUGAAGAUGUUUUGAUGACGAUACCAAGUUUAAACCACUAUAACUAAAUGAAAUUGUUCUGACUUAUUUAG